UUUUUCUUCUUUAGCAUAAGGUUUGCCUCCUACUACUGAAUCAUAAGCAUCUAGAUUUUUUUAAUAUUAACGACGAGAUCUAUUAUCACUUUUUGCAUGUCCUCUAAAAUUUAAUGUAGGUGAAUUUUCUCCCAAAUAUUAACGACGAGAUCUAUUAUCGCUUUUUGCAUGUUCUCUAAAAUUUAAUGUAGGUGCAAAUUCUCCCAAUUUGUGGCCUGCCAUACUAUCCGUUGUAUAAAUAGGCAAAUGCUCUUUUCCAUUAUGGAUAAAAAUAGUAUGACCGAUCAUUGUGGGUAUAAUGGUAGAUGCCCGGGACCAAGUUACUAUUAUUUC
RNAcentral lists this long non-coding RNA (333 nucleotides) under Nicotiana benthamiana. RNAcentral's name for it is "long non-coding RNA (NBEN_LNC018947)". Lineage: Eukaryota; Viridiplantae; Streptophyta; Magnoliopsida; Solanales; Solanaceae. The record is from RNAcentral.